CAGUCGAACGAAGCACUUUAUUUGAUUUCCUUCGGGACUGAUUAUUUUGUGACUGAGUGGCGGACGGGUGAGUAACGCGUGGGUAACCUGCCUUGUACAGGGGGAUAACAGUUGGAAACGGCUGCUAAUACCGCAUAAGCGCACGGCAUCGCAUGAUGCAGUGUGAAAAACUCCGGUGGUAUAAGAUGGACCCGCGUUGGAUUAGCUAGUUGGUGAGGUAACGGCCCACCAAGGCGACGAUCCAUAGCCGACCUGAGAGGGUGACCGGCCACAUUGGGACUGAGACACGGCCCAAACUCCUACGGGAGGCAGCAGUGGGGAAUAUUGCACAAUGGGCGAAAGCCUGAUGCAGCGACGCCGCGUGAGCGAAGAAGUAUUUCGGUAUGUAAAGCUCUAUCAGCAGGGAAGAUAAUGACGGUACCUGACUAAGAAGCACCGGCUAAAUACGUGCCAGCAGCCGCGGUAAUACGUAUGGUGCAAGCGUUAUCCGGAUUUACUGGGUGUAAAGGGAGCGCAGGCGGUGCGGCAAGUCUGAUGUGAAAGCCCGGGGCUCAACCCCGGUACUGCAUUGGAAACUAUCGUACUAGAGUGUCGGAGGGGUAAGCGGAAUUCCUAGUGUAGCGGUGAAAUGCGUAGAUAUUAGGAGGAACACCAGUGGCGAAGGCGGCUUACUGGACGAUAACUGACGCUGAGGCUCGAAAGCGUGGGGAGCAAACAGGAUUAGAUACCCUGGUAGUCCACGC
Molecule: ribosomal RNA, 743 nt
Filed under: uncultured bacterium
Lineage: Bacteria
Description: bacterial SSU rRNA
Rfam family: Bacterial small subunit ribosomal RNA
Source: RNAcentral